GAUGAACGCUGGCGGCGUGCCUAAUACAUGCAAGUCGAGCGAACGGACGAGAAGCUUGCUUCUCUGAUGUUAGCGGCGGACGGGUGAGUAACACGUGGAUAACCUACCUAUAAGACUGGGAUAACUUCGGGAAACCGGAGCUAAUACCGGAUAAUAUUUUGAACCGCAUGGUUCAAAAGUGAAAGACGGUCUUGCUGUCACUUAUAGAUGGAUCCGCGCUGCAUUAGCUAGUUGGUAAGGUAACGGCUUACCAAGGCAACGAUGCAUAGCCGACCUGAGAGGGUGAUCGGCCACACUGGAACUGAGACACGGUCCAGACUCCUACGGGAGGCAGCAGUAGGGAAUCUUCCGCAAUGGGCGAAAGCCUGACGGAGCAACGCCGCGUGAGUGAUGAAGGUCUUCGGAUCGUAAAACUCUGUUAUUAGGGAAGAACAUAUGUGUAAGUAACUGUGCACAUCUUGACGGUACCUAAUCAGAAAGCCACGGCUAACUACGUGCCAGCAGCCGCGGUAAUACGUAGGUGGCAAGCGUUAUCCGGAAUUAUUGGGCGUAAAGCGCGCGUAGGCGGUUUUUUAAGUCUGAUGUGAAAGCCCACGGCUCAACCGUGGAGGGUCAUUGGAAACUGGAAAACUUGAGUGCAGAAGAGGAAAGUGGAAUUCCAUGUGUAGCGGUGAAAUGCGCAGAGAUAUGGAGGAACACCAGUGGCGAAGGCGACUUUCUGGUCUGUAACUGACGCUGAUGUGCGAAAGCGUGGGGAUCAAACAGGAUUAGAUACCCCGGUAGUCCACGCCGUAAUCGAUGAGUGCUAAGUGUUAGGGGGUUUCCGCCCCUUAGUGCUGCAGCUAACGCAUUAAGCACUCCGCCUGGGGAGUACGACCGCAAGGUUGAAACUCAAAGGAAUUGACGGGGACCCGCACAAGCGGUGGAGCAUGUGGUUUAAUUCGAAGCAACGCGAAGAACCUUACCAAAUCUUGACAUCCUUUGACAACUCUAGAGAUAGAGCCUUCCCCUUCGGGGGACAAAGUGACAGGUGGUGCAUGGUUGUCGUCAGCUCGUGUCGUGAGAUGUUGGGUUAAGUCCCGCAACGAGCGCAACCCUUAAGCUUAGUUGCCAUCAUUAAGUUGGGCACUCUAAGUUGACUGCCGGUGACAAACCGGAGGAAGGUGGGGAUGACGUCAAAUCAUCAUGCCCCUUAUGAUUUGGGCUACACACGUGCUACAAUGGACAAUACAAAGGGCAGCGAAACCGCGAGGUCAAGCAAAUCCCAUAAAGUUGUUCUCAGUUCGGAUUGUAGUCUGCAACUCGACUACAUGAAGCUGGAAUCGCUAGUAAUCGUAGAUCAGCAUGCUACGGUGAAUACGUUCCCGGGUCU
This 1372-nucleotide ribosomal RNA is filed under the name uncultured bacterium. Its description in RNAcentral is "bacterial SSU rRNA". It matches the Rfam family "Bacterial small subunit ribosomal RNA", at positions 28 to 1381 of the family's 1533-position model. The record is from RNAcentral.